AUGGACCCUUGCGGUGAGAAACAGCCGCUGUGUACUCAAUUUCCUAUCCUGUUUAGUGUGUGCAAUGAUCAGGAGAUCACUGUUGCUAAAUUCAGGGAGAAUGUGGAGGUGAACUUCUUCAGAAGAAGACUAAAUCCUGAGCUUCUUGCUCAACGGAAUAAAGUGCAGGCCUGGGUGGGAGCGCUACCACCUUCUAACGACCCUGAUCAGGUCGUCUGGGCCUUAGGGGGGAAGAAGUACUUCACUACUAAAUCGGUCUACAAGUAUUUGGAGAGGAACAUCACUGGGUGCAACUUCAGAUGGAUUUGGAAAGCCAAAAUCCCUUUAAAAAUACAGAUCUUUUUGUGGCAACUAUUUCAGGAUUCGGUCCUGACCAGGGAAGUCAUGAGGAGGCGUGGGUGGCUGGGUAGGCCGGCAUGUGAUUUUUGCAAUAAGAAAGAAACAUCAAAUCACCUUUUCUUUACCUGUCCAGUUGCUAGAGUUAUGUGGAGGAAAGUUGGGUGA
RNAcentral lists this ribosomal RNA (504 nucleotides) under Triticum aestivum (bread wheat). Its description in RNAcentral is "partial small subunit ribosomal RNA". The record is from RNAcentral. Lineage: Eukaryota; Viridiplantae; Streptophyta; Magnoliopsida; Poales; Poaceae.